This 253-nucleotide ribosomal RNA is filed under the name uncultured bacterium. RNAcentral's name for it is "partial 16S ribosomal RNA". It matches the Rfam family "Bacterial small subunit ribosomal RNA", at positions 524 to 776 of the family's 1533-position model. The record is from RNAcentral.
UACAGAGGUGGCAAGCGUUGUUCGGAAUUACUGGGCGUAAAGGGCGCGUAGGCGGCCUUCUAAGUCAGACGUGAAAUCCCCCGGCUUAACCUGGGAACUGCGUCUGAUACUGGGAGGCUCGAGUAUGGGAGAGGGAUGUAGAAUUCCAGGUGUAGCGGUGAAAUGCGUAGAUAUCAGGAGGAACACCGGUGGCGAAGGCGGGUCUCUGGGCAACAACUGACGCUGAGGAGCGAAAGCGUGGGGAGCGAACAGG